CUACGGGUCGCAGCAGUGGGGAAUAUUGGACAAUGGGGGAAACCCUGAUCCAGCAAUGCCGCGUGUGUGAAGAAGGCCUGCGGGUUGUAAAGCACUUUCGGUUGGGAGGACUGCUUCUAGCACUAAUAUUGUUGGAAGUUGACGUUACCUUCAGAAGAAGCACCGGCUAACUCCGUGCCAGCAGCCGCGGUAAUACGGAGGGUGCAAGCGUUAAUCGGAAUUACUGGGCGUAAAGCGCGCGUAGGCGGCUAGAUCAGUCGGGUGUGAAAGCCCCGGGCUUAACCUGGGAACUGCAUCCGAUACUGGCUAGCUUGAGUACAGGAGAGGAGAGUGGAAUUCCACAUGUAGCGGUGAAAUGCGUAGAUAUGUGGAGGAACACCAAUGGCGAAGGCAGCUCUCUGGCCUGAUACUGACGCUGAGGUGCGAAAGCGUGGGGAGCAGACAGGAUUAGAUACCCCCGUAGUC
This 465-nucleotide ribosomal RNA is filed under the name uncultured bacterium. Its description in RNAcentral is "partial 16S ribosomal RNA". It matches the Rfam family "Bacterial small subunit ribosomal RNA", at positions 339 to 795 of the family's 1533-position model. The record is from RNAcentral.